RNAcentral lists this ribosomal RNA (560 nucleotides) under uncultured Glomus. RNAcentral's name for it is "SSU rRNA". It matches the Rfam family "Eukaryotic small subunit ribosomal RNA", at positions 546 to 1106 of the family's 1831-position model. The record is from RNAcentral. Lineage: Eukaryota; Fungi; Glomeromycota; Glomeromycetes; Glomerales; Glomeraceae.
AAUUGGAGGGCAAGUCUGGUGCCAGCAGCCGCGGUAAUUCCAGCUCCAAUAGCGUAUAUUAAAGUUGUUGCAGUUAAAAAGCUCGUAGUUGAAUUUCGGGAUCAAUAUUUCGGUCAUGCCGUUGGUAUGCACUGUUAUCAUUGAUUUCUCACCUUCUAAAGAACCGUAAUGCCAUUAAUUUGGCGUUACGGGGAAUUAGGACUGUUACCUUGAAAAAAUUAGAGUGUUUAAAGCAGGCUCACGCUUGAAUACAUUAGCAUGGAAUAAUGAAAUAGGACAUCCGAUUCUAUUUUGUUGGUUUCUAGGAUCGAUGUAAUGAUUAAUAGGGAUAGUUGGGGGCAUUAGUAUUCAAUUGUCAGAGGUGAAAUUCUUGGAUUUAUUGAAGACUAACUACUGCGAAAGCAUUUGCCAAGGAUGUUUUCAUUAAUCAAGAACGAAAGUUAGGGGAUCGAAGACGAUCAGAUACCGUCGUAGUCUUAACCAUAAACUAUGCCGACUAGGGAUCGGAUGAUGUUAAUUUUUUAAUGACUCAUUCGGCGCCUUACGGGAAACCAAAGUGU